Molecule: long non-coding RNA, 175 nt
Filed under: Pongo abelii (Sumatran orangutan)
Lineage: Eukaryota; Metazoa; Chordata; Mammalia; Primates; Hominidae
Description: lincRNA
Source: RNAcentral
GAAAGAUUAGCUGAGUUUUUCUGCUGACUUACCUGUUGCAUAGCAUCAUCCUCAGGCACUACCAAAAGUGUUUAGAGCACUCUGUUGAAAAUGGCAGUAUUUGGAGAAACUGGAUGUCACUUAAAAUAUGAUCCUUGGAUAAACAUCACAUGCUGCUGGCCUUCUUACAAAAUGA